Molecule: ribosomal RNA, 497 nt
Filed under: uncultured bacterium
Lineage: Bacteria
Description: partial 16S ribosomal RNA
Rfam family: Bacterial small subunit ribosomal RNA
Source: RNAcentral
GAUGAACGCUGGCGGCGUGCCUAAUACAUGCAAGUCGAGCGAACAGACGAGGAGCUUGCUCCUCUGACGUUAGCGGCGGACGGGUGAGUAACACGUGGAUAACCUACCUAUAAGACUGGGAUAACUUCGGGAAACCGGAGCUAAUACCGGAUAAUAUAUUGAACCGCAUGGUUCAAUAGUGAAAGACGGUUUUGCUGUCACUUAUAGAUGGAUCCGCGCCGCAUUAGCUAGUUGGUAAGGUAACGGCUUACCAAGGCAACGAUGCGUAGCCGACCUGAGAGGGUGAUCGGCCACACGGGAGCUGAGACACGGUCCAGACUCCUACGGGAGGCAGCAGUAGGGAAUCUUCCGCAAUGGGCGAAAGCCUGACGGAACAACGCCGCGUGAGUGAUGAAGGUCUUCGGAUCGUAAAACUCUGUUAUUAGGGAAGAACAAAUGUGUAAGUAACUAUGCACGUCUUGACGGUACCUAAUCAGAAAGCCACGGCUAACUACGUG